UUUGCUGCCACAAGAGGUUUGUGGUGUUGAAGCGCUGAAAGUGUUUUCACAUAACUUUCUGACACCGUAUCAACCUUCACUUCUUCGGGGUUCAGUGGAAGAGCUGGAAAUGAGAAUAGCCACACUGAAAGAACAGUUGAAAGAUGCUGAAGAAGAACUGGAAAAACUUAGAGCAGGUCAACAAGAAAGUAUAAUGUAGAAAGACUUGGCGGGCGGAGGGCAUUAUGUUGCCUUCACUUUUUCUUUAUCCUUUUUAGGAAACAGUGACAUCUGAAAAAGAAAAUGUUUUUCUUGAGAUAAUUAUUUUGUCUUUUUUGUAUAAUUUUUUCAUUCUUUUAGUUCGUUUGUACCUUCAAGAAGACAAUAAAUGAG
Molecule: unclassified non-coding RNA, 372 nt
Filed under: Hevea brasiliensis (rubber tree)
Lineage: Eukaryota; Viridiplantae; Streptophyta; Magnoliopsida; Malpighiales; Euphorbiaceae
Source: RNAcentral